AUCGGGCGAGCCGGGCACUCUGGAGGGACUGCCGGCGACAAGCCGGAGGAAGUGGGGAUGACGUCAAGUCAUCAUGGCCCUUAUGUCCAGGGCGACACACGUGCUACAAUGGCCGGCGACAGCGGGAAGCGGAGGGGCGACCCUGAGCGGAUACCCUUGAAAGCCGGUCCCAGUUCGGAUUGCAGUCUGCAACUCGACUGCAUGAAGUUGGAAUCGCUAGUAAUCGCGGAUCAGCCAAGCCGCGGUGAAUACGUUCCCGGGCCUU
RNAcentral lists this ribosomal RNA (265 nucleotides) under uncultured Thermovirga sp. RNAcentral describes it as "partial 16S ribosomal RNA". It matches the Rfam family "Bacterial small subunit ribosomal RNA", at positions 1120 to 1382 of the family's 1533-position model. The record is from RNAcentral. Lineage: Bacteria; Thermotogati; Synergistota; Synergistia; Synergistales; Thermovirgaceae.